UACGAAGGGGGCUAGCGUUGCUCGGAAUCACUGGGCGUAAAGGGUGCGUAGGCGGGUCUUUAAGUCAGGGGGGAAAUCCUGGAGCUCAACUCCAGAACUGCCUUUGAUACUGAGGAUCUUGAGUUCGGGAGAGGUGAGUGGAACUGCGAGUGUAGAGAUGAAAUUCGUAGAUAUUCGCAAGAACACCAGUGGCGAAGGCGGCUCACUGGCCCGAUACUGACGCUGAGGCACGAAAGCGUGGGGAGCAAACAGG
This 253-nucleotide ribosomal RNA is filed under the name uncultured bacterium. RNAcentral describes it as "partial 16S ribosomal RNA". It matches the Rfam family "Bacterial small subunit ribosomal RNA", at positions 524 to 776 of the family's 1533-position model. The record is from RNAcentral.